GACGAACGCUGGCGGCGUGCUUAACACAUGCAAGUCGAACGGAAAGGCCCUGCCUUUGUGGGGUGCUCGAGUGGCGAACGGGUGAGUAACACGUGAGUAACCUGCCCUUGACUUUGGGAUAACUUCAGGAAACUGGGGCUAAUACCGGAUAGGAGCUCCUGCUGCAUGGUGGGGGUUGGAAAGUUUCUGCGGUUGGGGAUGGACUCGCGGCUUAUCAGCUUGUUGGUGGGGUAGUGGCUUACCAAGGCUUUGACGGGUAGCCGGCCUGAGAGGGUGACCGGCGACAUUGGGACUGAGAUACGGCGCAGACUGCUACGGGAGGCAGCAGUGGGGAGUAUUGCACAGUGGGCGGAAGCCUGAUGCGGCAACGCCGCGUGCGGGAUGACGGCCUGCGGGUUGUAAACCGCUUUCGCCUGUGACGAAGCGGGAGUGACGGUAAUGGGUAAAGAAGCACCGGCUAACUACGUG
Molecule: ribosomal RNA, 468 nt
Filed under: uncultured bacterium
Lineage: Bacteria
Description: partial 16S ribosomal RNA
Rfam family: Bacterial small subunit ribosomal RNA
Source: RNAcentral